This 73-nucleotide transfer RNA is filed under the name Trichechus manatus latirostris (Florida manatee). Its description in RNAcentral is "tRNA-Thr (CGT) (tRNA-Thr-CGT-5-1)". It matches the Rfam family "tRNA". Rfam says of the family: Transfer RNA (tRNA) molecules are approximately 80 nucleotides in length. Their secondary structure includes four short double-helical elements and three loops (D, anti-codon, and T loops). Further hydrogen bonds mediate the characteristic L-shaped molecular structure. tRNAs have two regions of fundamental functional importance: the anti-codon, which is responsible for specific mRNA codon recognition, and the 3' end, to which the tRNAs corresponding amino acid is attached (by aminoacyl-tRNA synthetases). tRNAs cope with the degeneracy of the genetic code in two manners: having more than one tRNA (with a specific anti-codon) for a particular amino acid; and 'wobble' base-pairing, i.e. permitting non-standard base-pairing at the 3rd anti-codon position. Lineage: Eukaryota; Metazoa; Chordata; Mammalia; Sirenia; Trichechidae. The record is from Rfam by way of RNAcentral.
GCCUUCUUAGUGCAGUAGACAGCAUAUCAGUCUCGUAAUCUAAAGGUCCUGAGUUCGAACCUCAGAGAGGGCA